RNAcentral lists this ribosomal RNA (305 nucleotides) under uncultured bacterium. Its description in RNAcentral is "bacterial SSU rRNA". It matches the Rfam family "Bacterial small subunit ribosomal RNA", at positions 337 to 634 of the family's 1533-position model. The record is from RNAcentral.
GCCUACGGGGCGCAGCAGUAGGGAAUCUUCUACAAUGGGCGAAAGCCUGAUGGAGCAACGCCGCGUGGGUGAAGAAGGUCUUCGGAUCGUAAAACCCUGUUGUUAGAGAAGAAAGUGCGUGAGAGUAACUGUUCACGUUUCGACGGUAUCUAACCAGAAAGCCACGGCUAACUACGUGCCAGCAGCCGCGGUAAUACGUAGGUGGCAAACGUUAUCCGGAUUUAUUGGGCGUAAAGGGAACGCAGGCGGUCUUUUAAGUCUGAUGUGAAAGCCUUCGGCUUAACCGGAGUAGUGCAUUGGAAACU